GACGUAGGGUGCAAGCGUUUGUCCGGAUUUACUGGGCGUAAAGCGCGCGUAGGCGGCUCGUUAAGUGGUGGAGUUGAAAUGCCGGGGCUCAACCCCGGAACUGCUUUACAUACUGGCGAGCUUGAGGGAUGCAGAGGUUUGUGGAAUUCCUGGUGUAACGGUGAAAUGUGUUGAUAUCAGGAGGAACACCCAUGGCGAAGGCAGCAAACUGGGCAUCAUCUGA
Molecule: ribosomal RNA, 223 nt
Filed under: uncultured bacterium
Lineage: Bacteria
Description: partial 16S ribosomal RNA
Rfam family: Bacterial small subunit ribosomal RNA
Source: RNAcentral